AUUUUACCCCGAACAGACCGUCUGUGACAUCAAUAACCAUGACGACCAGAUAACCGCAAUAAUUAACCCAUUUCAUGGGAUUGCGAAAUAAAACUGACUAGAUGACAAGUUGACAUACCUUUGAAAGAGGGAUAUCCGGUCCUUUUUUUGAUCAUCACGGCACAUGGCAGGAGCUAAAUUUGAGAAUUGUGCUCACAUCUUGGAUGGAUUUGCCUUAUACGUAUUAGGAGGUGAAUAUAAAAGUUUCUUAUUCUUGAGAAAAGAAAGAAAUAUCCACUUCAGUGUUUUGGGAUUUGAAUUAUUCUAUCUUCCUAAUCAAGCCGUAAUCGUUAGACCUCACUUCAGGCCGUCCACUAUAUACAGGCCUUUUCAUUUUUGGCCCCUUUCGCUUUAUCUCUUCGUUGUACGUUGGUUACAUCUUGACGAUUAGCUUAUUGUUACCUUUAUUACGGUACUACAAGAAGUCUCUGACAACCAGAAAAUCAUUGAUUACAACUAUAAUACUUACCACAGAAUCUCAAGAUCAUUUAUGAACACACCAGAUCUCCACAAAGUUUCGAACGAAGAGAAAGAUAUACGCUGGCAACACGUUGAUCAGGCGAGCUCUUUCCAUUAUUUCUAUUGCUUUACUUAUAUUAAUAUUACACCUCUUGUUGCUUGUCAAUUAUCCUGUUUAUUGGUUACAUUUGAAUGCUGCUUUUUGGCUGUGAAGCCUUAUCUACCAGUGAUUCUGGAAAAAAGAAUACAACUAACUAAAUAUCACAACUCUGAAAUUAUAUUUACUUACCACUUACUAGUUUAUAUAUAUAUAUAUAUAUAAACUCUGAUGUAUAUAUACAUAGGGGUAUCAAAUGAUCAUGUCCUUCUCCCUAUGCUGAUUGAAUGUUUCAAUGUUAAAUCUAUAUGUAGUUAAGUCUACUUGCAACUUGCACAACGAAUAAAUCCACUUCCUAUCA
Molecule: long non-coding RNA, 956 nt
Organism: Leptinotarsa decemlineata (Colorado potato beetle)
Lineage: Eukaryota; Metazoa; Arthropoda; Insecta; Coleoptera; Chrysomelidae
Source: RefSeq, a predicted model, not a curated record